GACGAACGCUGGCGGCGUGCUUAACACAUGCAAGUCGAACGGAAAGGCCCUGCUUUUGUGGGGUGCUCGAGUGGCGAACGGGUGAGUAACACGUGAGUAACCUGCCCUUGACUUUGGGAUAACUUCAGGAAACUGGGGCUAAUACCGGAUAGGAGCUCCUGCUGCAUGGUGGGGGUUGGAAAGUUUCGGCGGUUGGGGAUGGACUCGCGGCUUUUCAGCUUGUUGGUGGGGUAGUGGCUUACCAAGGCUUUUACGGGUAGCCGGCCUGAGAGGGUGACCGGCCACAUUGGGACUGAGAUACGGCCCAGACUCCUACGGGAGGCAGCAGUGGGGAAUAUUGCACAAUGGGCGGAAGCCUGAUGCAGCAACGCCGCGUGCGGGAUGACGGCCUUCGGGUUGUAAACCGCUUUCGCCUGUGACGAAGCGUGAGUGACGGUAAUGGGUAAAGAAGCACCGGCUAACUACGUG
RNAcentral lists this ribosomal RNA (468 nucleotides) under uncultured bacterium. Its description in RNAcentral is "partial 16S ribosomal RNA". It matches the Rfam family "Bacterial small subunit ribosomal RNA", at positions 28 to 507 of the family's 1533-position model. The record is from RNAcentral.